Molecule: ribosomal RNA, 475 nt
Filed under: uncultured organism
Description: partial 16S ribosomal RNA
Rfam family: Bacterial small subunit ribosomal RNA
Source: RNAcentral
CGUACACUCCUACGGGAGGCAGCAGUGAGGAAUAUUGGACAAUGGGUGGAAGCCUGAUCCAGCCAUCCCGCGUGCAGGAAGACGGCCCUAUGGGUUGUAAACUGCUUUUAUCUGGGGAUAAACCUACUUACGUGUAAGUAGCUGAAGGUACCAGAAGAAUAAGCACCGGCUAACUCCGUGCCAGCAGCCGCGGUAAUACGGAGGGUGCAAGCGUUAUCCGGAUUUAUUGGGUUUAAAGGGUCCGUAGGCGGACUGAUAAGUCAGUGGUGAAAUCCGACAGCUUAACUGUCGAACUGCCAUUGAUACUGUUAGUCUUGAGUAAGGUUGAAGUGGCUGGAAUAAGUAGUGUAGCGGUGAAAUGCAUAGAUAUUACUUAGAACACCAAUUGCGAAGGCAGGUCACUAAGUCUUAACUGACGCUGAUGGACGAAAGCGUGGGGAGCGAACAGGAUUAGAAACCCGUGUAGUCCCAUGAU